RNAcentral lists this ribosomal RNA (465 nucleotides) under uncultured bacterium. Its description in RNAcentral is "partial 16S ribosomal RNA". It matches the Rfam family "Bacterial small subunit ribosomal RNA", at positions 339 to 795 of the family's 1533-position model. The record is from RNAcentral.
CUACGGGGUGCACCAGUGGGGAAUAUUGGUCAAUGGGCGAAAGCCUGAUCCAGCCAUGCCGCGUGUGUGAUGAAGGCCUUAGGGUCGUAAAGCACUGUGGAGAAGGACGAAAAGCUGUAGGAAUAAUACCCUAUAGUCUUGACGGUACUUCUUUAGCAAGCACCGGCUAACUCCGUGCCAGCAGCCGCGGUAAUACGGAGGGGGCAAGCGUUAAUCGGAAUUACUGGGCGUAAAACGCGCGUAGGCGGCUAGAUCAGUCGGGUGUGAAAGCCCCGGGCUUAACCUGGGAACUGCAUCCGAUACUGUCUAGCUUGAGUACAGGAGAGGAGAGUGGAAUUCCACAUGUAGCGGUGAAAUGCGUAGAUAUGUGGAGGAACACCAAUGGCGAAGGCAGCUCUCUGGCCUGAUACUGACGCUGAGGUGCGAAAGCGUGGGGAGCAAACAGGAUUAGAUACCCCCGUAGUC